UACGUAGGGGGCAAGCGUUAUCCGGAUUUACUGGGUGUAAAGGGAGCGUAGACGGCAAUACAAGUCGGAAGUGAAAUACCCGGGCUCAACCUGGGAACUGCUUUGGAAACUGUAUGGCUAGAGUGCUGGAGAGGUAAGCGGAAUUCCUAGUGUAGCGGUGAAAUGCAUAGAUAUCACGCAGAACUCCGAUUGCGAAGGCAGCUUACUAAGCCAUAACUGACACUGAAGCACGAAAGCGUGGGGAUCAAACAGG
Molecule: ribosomal RNA, 253 nt
Filed under: uncultured Lachnospiraceae bacterium
Lineage: Bacteria; Bacillati; Bacillota; Clostridia; Lachnospirales; Lachnospiraceae
Description: partial 16S ribosomal RNA
Rfam family: Bacterial small subunit ribosomal RNA
Source: RNAcentral